Molecule: ribosomal RNA, 276 nt
Filed under: uncultured bacterium
Lineage: Bacteria
Description: partial 16S ribosomal RNA
Rfam family: Bacterial small subunit ribosomal RNA
Source: RNAcentral
CCGCCGGCGACCGGCGCACGGGUGAGUAACACGUAUGCAACCGUGGCCGUGACAGAUGGAUAACCGGGAGAAAUCCCGCCUAAUACAACAUAAUGCCGGGAGGGGGACAUCCCCUGCCGGUCAAAAGGGGGCGACCCCGGUCACGGAUGGGCAUGCGGCGCAUUAGGUAGUUGGUGGGGCAACGGCCCACCAAGCCGACGAUGCGUAGGGGUUCUGAGAGGAAGGUCCCCCACAUUGGAACUGAGACACGGUCCAAACUCCUACGGGAGGCAGCAG